Molecule: ribosomal RNA, 637 nt
Filed under: uncultured bacterium
Lineage: Bacteria
Description: bacterial SSU rRNA
Rfam family: Bacterial small subunit ribosomal RNA
Source: RNAcentral
GCUCAACCGGGGAGGGUCAUUGGAAACUGGGGAACUUGAGUGCAGAAGAGGAGAGUGGAAUUCCACGUGUAGCGGUGAAAUGCGUAGAGAUGUGGAGGAACACCAGUGGCGAAGGCGACUCUCUGGUCUGUAACUGACGCUGAGGCGCGAAAGCGUGGGGAGCGAACAGGAUUAGAUACCCUGGUAGUCCACGCCGUAAACGACGAGUGCUAAGUGUUAGAGGGUUUCCGCCCUUUAGUGCUGCAGCAAACGCAUUAAGCACUCCGCCUGGGGAGUACGGUCGCAAGACUGAAACUCAAAGGAAUUGACGGGGGCCCGCACAAGCGGUGGAGCAUGUGGUUUAAUUCGAAGCAACGCGAAGAACCUUACCAGGUCUUGACAUCCUCUGACAACCCUAGAGAUAGGGCUUCCCCUUCGGGGGCAGAGUGACAGGUGGUGCAUGGUUGUCGUCAGCUCGUGUCGUGAGAUGUUGGGUUAAGUCCCGCAACGAGCGCAACCCUUGAUCUUAGUUGCCAGCAUUCAGUUGGGCACUCUAAGGUGUCUGCCGGUGACAAACCGGAGGAAGGUGGGGAUGACGUCAAAUCAUCAUGCCCCUUAUGACCUGUGCUACACACGUGCUACAAUGGGCAGAACAAAG